This 497-nucleotide ribosomal RNA is filed under the name uncultured bacterium. Its description in RNAcentral is "partial 16S ribosomal RNA". It matches the Rfam family "Bacterial small subunit ribosomal RNA", at positions 28 to 507 of the family's 1533-position model. The record is from RNAcentral.
GACGAACGCUGGCGGCGUGCCUAAUACAUGCAAGUUGAGCGCUGAAGGUUGGUACUUGUACCAACUGGAUGAGCAGCGAACGGGUGAGUAACGCGUGGGGAAUCUGCCUUUGAGCGGGGGACAACAUUUGGAAACGAAUGCUAAUACCGCAUAAAAACUUUAAACACAAGUUUUAAGUUUGAAAGAUGCACUUGCAUCACUCAAAGAUGAUCCCGCGUUGUAUUAGCUAGUUGGUGAGGUAAAGGCUCACCAAGGCGAUGAUACAUAGCCGACCUGAGAGGGUGAUCGGCCACAUUGGGACUGAGACACGGCCCAAACUCCUACGGGAGGCAGCAGUAGGGAAUCUUCGGCAAUGGACGAAAGUCUGACCGAGCAACGCCGCGGGAGUGAAGAAGGUUUUCGGAUCGUAAAACUCUGUUGGUAGAGAAGAACGUUGGUGAGAGUGGAAAGCUCAUCAAGUGACGGUAACUACCCAGAAAGGGACGGCUAACUACGUG